GACGAACGCUGGCGGCGUGCUUAACACAUGCAAGUCGAACGGAAAGGCCCUGCUUUUGUGGGGUGCUCGAGUGGCGAACGGGUGAGUAACACGUGAGUAAACUGCCCUUGACUUUGGGAUAACUUCAGGAAACUGGGGCUAAUACCGGAUAGGAGCUCCUGCUGCAUGGUGGGGGUUGGAAAGUUUCGGCGGUUGGGGAUGGACUCGCGGCUUAUCAGCUUGUUGGUGGGGUAGUGGCUUACCAAGGCUUUGACGGGUAGCCGGCCUGAGAGGGUGACCGGCCACAUUGGGACUGAGAUACGGCCCAGACUCCUACGGGAGGCAGCAGUGGGGAAUAUUACACAAUGGGCGGAAGCCUGAUGCAGCAACGCCGCGUGCGGGAUGACGGCCUUCGGGUUGUAAACCGCUUUCGCCUGUGACGAAGCGUGAGUGACGGUAAUGGGUAAAGAAGCACCGGCUAACUACGUG
This 468-nucleotide ribosomal RNA is filed under the name uncultured bacterium. RNAcentral's name for it is "partial 16S ribosomal RNA". It matches the Rfam family "Bacterial small subunit ribosomal RNA", at positions 28 to 507 of the family's 1533-position model. The record is from RNAcentral.